UACAGAGGUCUCAAGCGUUGUUCGGAUUUAUUGGGCGUAAAGGGUGCGCAGGCUGCGUGGUAAGUCGAGUGUGAAAUUUAGGGGCUUAACCCCUAAACUGCAUCCGAUACUGCCAUGCUAGAGGACUGUAGAGGAGAUUGGAAUUCACGGUGUAGCAGUGAAAUGCGUAGAUAUCGUGAGGAAGACCAGUGGCGAAGGCGAAUCUCUGGGCAGGUCCUGACGCUCAUGCACGAAGGCUAGGGGAGCAAACGGG
This 253-nucleotide ribosomal RNA is filed under the name uncultured bacterium. Its description in RNAcentral is "partial 16S ribosomal RNA". It matches the Rfam family "Bacterial small subunit ribosomal RNA", at positions 524 to 776 of the family's 1533-position model. The record is from RNAcentral.